UUCAGAACCUUCAGUAGCCAAGCGGCUUUCUAGGCCUCAGUCUCUCCCCUUCUUCCAUCUCGACACCUCUUCUGCCUCAGCUAAUUGCCAGAUGGUGGAGCACAGCGUUUCACUGUUUCUUCUUUGGAGGGCUAUCCCUCCCAGGUCACACAGGAGCCGCUUCUGCUCUCCCAGCCUGCCCUGAAGAAGUGGCAGUAGGCCAUUCACGAUGUCAAAGACGGAUCUACUGCUUACUCACUUCAAUGGAGAUGCGUCCACAUGAGGAACUAGUCCAAGUGAAAUUCACGUACACCUUCAGAAAGGCUGUGUGAGGUUGCAAGUUCCCAACUCUGUACUCUGUAGCCUGAAUCUACUAUAUCCAUCAUGCAAAUCUCAGAACUGCGGGAGAAGCGCUUCUUAAACAUCCUUUGGGAGAAGAAACACAUAUAUGAGAUGAACACAGGGAGUGCUGUACAGCUGAACUGAAUACUUUGUAUCUAAUGAGACAUUUUAGAAAAGAGAUGUCUAGGCUGAGACAAAAGCACAAAGUCAGGAAGGUUAGCCAAUCAGUUACUGUUUAUACUAAUGAAUUUUCUGAAUACUACACAAUACUUAGAAUAUAAUUCAUAAAUGUAUUUAAUAUAUAUGUAGAACGCUACAAUGAUUUUAAGGAUUUUACUUGAAAAUAGAGGAAUAAGUCAAAAAUCUGCAAGUUUAAGGAAUCGUUGCUCAGUCAUCACUGAGUCUUCUUCUAUAUGUAAGCAUCCCAAACUUGUAUUAAAAAAAAUGCCUGUAAUGAUAAAUUUCUUCCUUAUGUAACUUCCUCAGAGUUACUAAGUAAUUUCAGAUGCUAACUGGCAAAGCAUCCAGAGUUCAAGCCAAACUAUCUGUCUAUCCAGUUUGGUGAUUAACUAUGCAUACAGUAGCAUGUUCCCCUCUAAAGAGGGAACUUCAGACCUGUGUGCAGUGGAAAAAACACUGAGUCACAGGCACGGUUGUGGAAUGCAGCUUUGUUUGAACGGGAGCCAGCUGAAGGCAACAGGCAGUUUCCAUCCACUGAGUAAAGAGCAAACACCCCUGAAGAGUUACGUGUGAAAGUUAUGCAACGAUAAGAUCCAAAUUAUUUCAAGUCGUUCUUUGCCAAGCAAGCCUAAGGGAAAUCUCCUUGGCUGCAGACUGCACUUCUGAGCAUACUUUGAAGGCAAGCUGGAUGGUAUAUUGUGUAACAGUUAUUACCUUUGGAGACCGCAACCAUCUGGGCUCAACAUCCUCUUAGAAGGAAUAUAAGUAUGGCUGCCAAGGCCACACACUAUGAUCAAAAACAACUGAAAGAUAAAAACGAAGAAGAAAAGCAGAGAGAAUUUCCAAGUACUCAAAGCACUUACAGACAAAAAUUUCACACUAUUCAAAGGAAGUUAAUGUCUUUUUAUUCCUGUAUUUAACUACAAGAAAUAGUUUUUACAAGUAUGUUUUUCCUUUCUCUGAAUGAUGGAUGAGCCACCCAUGUUCUAGAAUUGUGACCUUGUCACCAGCCUUGUAGGGUUCUCUAAUUCCAAGUGCCUUUAAGUCCUAAUGGAGACUCCUCAAAGAACCACAAAACCAAACCUUUAUGAGUCCUUAGGAUCAACUCUAGCAAAUUUUGUGACACCAACUACCCUUUGUGGUGGCAACCCCUUACCACACAUACCAUAGCCCUGUAAACAGAGACUGCUCAUUCAUUUCCCGGCUGCCCAGACAUGAAUAAUCACACAGAAACUAUACUAAUUACAACACUGUUUGGCCGAUAUCUCAGGCAUAUUUCUAGCUAGCUCUUACAUCUUAAAUUAAUCUAUUUCUAUUAUUUUAUAUUUUACCAUGAGGCUUGCAGUUUGUUACCUCUUGCUUCUUAGGCAGCUAUAUGGCAUUUGGCUCCUUUGACAGCUACAUGGCAUCUCCUUGACUCUGCCUACUCUCUCUAUAUAUCUCUGUUUGGAUUUUCCACCUAGCUUUACUCUGCUAAGUCAUUGGCCCAAAUAGCUUUAUUCAUCAACCAAUAAAAAGCAACACAUAUACAGAAGGACAUCCUAUAUCAUGGCCCCAUUUCCUUUAUUUAUUAACAAAAUAAUAAAUCAAUUCUAGCUGCCACAGAGAAUGAUAGUUUUACUCAGGAAAACUCUGAAGUAUAGAAGGUUGAGGGGAAAGCUGAGUUCACCAAAGCACUUAAUUUUAGUCAUGUUGCAAGACAGCAACAAGCCAAGAAAUUAAUUGUUCUCAUCUUUAUGCAAACUCAGCCUCAAGCUUUCUAUAAAGUUUUCUUCAAGAGACGGGCCAGGUUUUCUUCAUAGAGGAAAACAAAUGUCCUGCCUGUGCUCUUAGAAGAAUAUGAACUUGGAGUAUUUGAGGGUCAGGGAGGACUGUGCUGCCAGCCAAGUAGUAUUUAUUGAGCACAGAUGACAAACCUGAACUAUACCUUCAGACGAAAAGUGUGUGAAUAACAGAUGCAUGUAUCCAUCUUCCCACUUAUCGCCCCAUUUGGAAAUCUCAUGACCCAUCAUGCCCAAAAUUGAAUCCAUUCAACUUCCAUUAAAAUAAUUCUUCCUUGUAAUUUUGAUCUAUGCCCAACAUACUACCCAUCCAACAGUUAAUUCUUUAUUCUUCUUUCUUGCACACUGCUUCUCCUUCUCCUACACGAUCUUGAACAAAUCUUGUGGUCAUAUUGUUUUCUGGUUUUAAUGGCAUUGCCUGAAUUACUACAGCAAUGACGUCCACUCUUGCUUUUUCUGAUUCAUUUUCCAUAGACUAUAGUCACCAUGACCUUCUGAGAGAUGAAGACAGAGAGAAACAGAGGUAAAAAGAGGGAAGGAAGAAGGAUAGAGUUUUUGAAGGGUCCUAAACACAGCAGGGUGCUCCAUCCUGGACCCUGGAUUAGGCACAAACCACACCCAAGCUUCUACUUUUACAGAGAGUUCCUUUAUUAAAUGGGGGAAGGGAGUACGGUGGCCAUUUCUGACACAGGCGAUUCACAGAUUAAUAAAAAUGGGUUAAUUUAAGAUAUAAGAGUUAGCCAGGAAUGUGCUAAGCCAUUGGUCAAGCAGUGUUGUAAUUAAUAUAGUUUCUGUGUGAUUAUUUGGGUCUGGGUGGCCAGGAACAAAAGAAUAGUCUCCAUUUACAAAACUAUGUUUGAAACCUUUUGGCUAUGGGACAUACAAUUGCUUAACACCCGAACUGCUAGAUUGGAUUGGGGAAUUAACAUUCAGUGGGCAAGAUUGCUCUUAUUGAAUAUGUGGCUGGCAUCAUAAGAAAUGAUUACAUAAUCCAAAAGGUAAAACUUGACUUCUGCAUAAAGGUGCACAACAUUAGUGAGUAUUGGCUCAUUUGUAUAGUGGCAGGAUUUAGGGAGAAGUUGACAUUGUGGCAGUGAGGAGAAACUCAAGAGAUUAGGUUCUGGGAGCUAGAAAUUAGAAACAUACGUGGGAGGGUUAGAAAAUGAUGUUCUCUUGAAAUGGAGUUAUCCUCACUCAGGUGAUCAACUAUGGAAUACUGCUCAGCUUUAAAGAAAAAUGAAAUCACGAACUUUGUGGUAAAUGGAUGGAACUAAAAAACAUAUUGAGUAAGCCCAACUUUCAGGCUGCGUUUCUCAAGAGGCACCCUAUAGUUGACAGGCCUAUUCAUUCUUGAAAUUAAACUUGUCUUCAGAAUGUCAACUUCCACUCAUACUGAUGCUCCUGGGAAUGUUCCACCACAGGCUGGUAAGCAUUAGUACCCUAAAGUGAGCCUUGCCACACACACACACACACACACACACACACACACACACACACACAGACAUGUGACAUGCACUGAGGCAUCUUUUGUCAUUUCUUUUGCUCCCAGACAUUACAAAUUCUGCCAGAGUUCCAUCCACAUGGUUCUGAGGCCUAAGUUGCUGGCUUAGCUUCUGUUUAAGUAGAUGAUGGCAAACUCUAAAACAAGAUGGACAAUUUGGAAGCUCCAGUAGCUCAGGCUGAAUUGUCAUCACCUCCAAAUCUGGCUCUACAAAUUCUACAAGUUUCUCAUUAGAGAAGUGUCUGCCACCAGUUUGGAAUUUUAAAGUAUCCCUUUUGAAUAUGGGUGAAUUAGUCUGGAUUCUCUAGCGUAAUAGAACUUAUAGAAUGAACCUCUCUAUAAAUAAAAUGGCACUGAUUAGAACAACCUUCAGGCUGUGGUCCAGCUAAUUCAACCAUGGUUGCCUAUGAACAGAAGGUCCAAGAGUCCAGUAGUUCUUCGGUCCAAGAGGUUGGAUAUCUUAACUGGUCUUCAAGUAUGCCAGAAUCUGGGAAACAUAGGUUCUAAUGCCAGUAAAGAAAUGGACUUGCUAGAUAAGAGCAAGCAGACAGAGUAAAGUGAAGCUUCCUUCUUCCAUGCCCUUCUAUAGGCUGCCAGCAGAAGGUAUAGCCCAGAUUAGAGUUGGGUCUUCUCACCUCAGAAGAUCUGUAUUAAAGGGUAUGAAUUCUUCUUCAAAGGGCAAAUGAAGAGGAAGAGAAAGAAGUAUCAAUGCUGGAAUCAUUCUAUUAAUAAUGAAGUUUCUUUGCUGUCCUGAUUUCACUUUUGGCUUAGACCUCCUUUGUCGAGCAUCUUUUCAGGAUUCAGUUCACCGGGCCCCUUUUAGUGGGCUUUGGUAGUAAUGAUAGAACAGCUAUUACCAGGGCCCCAUCUCUUUUAAAUCUGAACACUGAUGCAGGUUGUCUGCUGGGAGAAAGUUGGGAUUAAGCUAUCUGGGCAGCAGGACGCAGCCCGCUGCUCCUCUUACUACAUGUAGAUAAAGGAUCUCUUACAUAACAAAAGCUGUCUCAGAAAGCCCAUUAAGAAAAUGGGCAAUAAAGAGUCUGGAGAUUGUGUUGUCUACCCUGUGAACCAGUCUAAGGUAAGAGUCUAGGGAAGGAACAUAUGAUAAUUGACUUCUGUUUUAGAGGCUUUCUCUAUAGGCAGACAGAGGAAUUGCAGAGAAAAUGCAUCCCUGUACUUUGAAGGACAAUGAAAAGCAUAAAGUAUGAGAGAAGGGUGUAAUGGUCUGUCCAGUCCCUUUAAGAGACAAGUCCUGCCCAUUCUGCCCUCCUUCCAUGGGGCAAGUGGCUUUUCCUUCCACUUCCAGUCUCUCUUCUGAAGAAGUGGCUGCAGUCUCCUCUCUUCCUCUCUGUUUCGUUCCCUCUCUUUCUCUCUCCCCCUUCCCUUUUACUG
Alexandromys fortis (reed vole) is the source of this 5175-nucleotide long non-coding RNA. RefSeq lists it as uncharacterized. NCBI's taxonomy places the organism in Eukaryota, Metazoa, Chordata, Mammalia, Rodentia, Cricetidae. The record is from RefSeq and is a predicted model, not a curated record. The transcript has 9 exons.